RNAcentral lists this long non-coding RNA (219 nucleotides) under Elaeis guineensis (African oil palm). Its description in RNAcentral is "long non-coding RNA (EGUI_LNC017462)". Lineage: Eukaryota; Viridiplantae; Streptophyta; Magnoliopsida; Arecales; Arecaceae. The record is from RNAcentral.
UGUACUUUCUUUUUGCAUGACUGUCUUUUGGUGGGAUGGGUGUCUAUCCAAAAUGUGGCAGCCUUUCGAAGGAUUCUAAAGGAGUACUGUGGUGCCUUUAGAUAGAAGAUAAACCUUCUUAAAUUAGCAGUGCACUUCAACCCAAAAACUAGUGCUAGUAGAGAUAGGCAAUCAGGAAGAUUCUAGGCAUCACAGAGCAAAUUGGAGCCUAGCACUACC